CGGUUACUCGGUAGUAGCCAAUAGAGGAGUACAGUCAAGCUUAUUCACAGCUAAUCAAAGCAGAAACGCAAAAUAACAGCGCUAACAACUAAACAUAGGGGCAGCUCGCCUCAUUAUUGCCAAACAUGGAGAACUGGAGUCAAUAUUGGACCAGUUCACAUUAAAAUGCCAACAGUCAUUCCCAAUGCCUAGAAAAGUUAACACGGAAAUCAAAAGAACCAAGCAGUCCGAUAUUCACCAAGGAGACAUCUCGAAUCCAACCACACUAACCCGAUACAUUAUACUUAAAAAGAACUUGGCAAAAGUAGAACUAGAGUCAAUAAACCAAAUAAUUUUUUUGUUUUGUUUUGUUUUUUUUUUUUUUUUUUGGUUUUUUUUUUUUUUGUUUACUAAAUUGUCACAUAGGAUUAAAACUAGAAUUAAUAGUCACAAAGAAAGAAAAAUAAACAACUAGAAUUAAAACUAAAAACUAAUAAAACUAGAAACUAUUAAAAACUAAGAACUAAAACUGAAAACUAAAAAUUACUAAGAAAUAAAAACUACUAAAAACGGAAAACACCAGCACCACUUUAGACCCAUUCCCCCCACACCUAUAGGACACAUUGUCCUCAAUGUGACAAAUAGAAAGCAAAAGUGAGAGGGAAAAGGACCAAACUUCCCUGAAAUCGGGUCAAAACAGUAGCGGCGCGCGACUCCAGCGUGGAUGGCGGCGGCUCGGGUGGAUGGCGGACGCGGACUGGGCAGCGGCGGCGGCGCUCGCGUCGGCGUGCUGGCAGCUUGGGCUGGUGUGGCCUUGGGAGGCAGCGGCGUGCUGGCAGAUGGGAGAAAGGGAUGGCGCGGCUGAGCUCAGUAGCUGCACGUGAGGGAGAUGGCGGCGACGAUGGAUCUGCUGGGUGAGAGGGGGAAUGGGUCUACUGGUUGCGGCGGCUGCUACGCGCGGUUGUGGGUCGGCUGCGGUGAGAAAGAGCUGGUGGGUCGGCGGCGCAGGCUUGUGGCGACUGGUGGAGCUCGAUGCGAGGGGGACAGCGGCGGCGGUGGCAGUAAAUGGAAGCGUGGCGGCAUGCGCAGAGAGCAGGGGAGCAGCAAAACAGCGGAGAAGAAAGAAAAAGGGAAAGAAAGAAGAAGAAAGAAAGAAAAAGAAAGGAAAGAAAGAGAAGAAAAGAAGGAAAAAAAAAAAAGAAAUUUUUUUUUAUUUUUAAUUUAUUAUUACUAAUAUUAUUAUAUAUAUAUUUUAUUUAUUUAUUUUUUUUUAUUUUUAUUCUUUUUUUUUGUUUUGUUAUUAUUUGAAUAACUGAAAUAAUAAUAAUAGUUUUUCUAUAUUUUUUUCAUUUUUUUUAUUUGAAUCCUUACCUUUCCCGCGAACGUGACGCGGGCACGUCAUAAGGCCAAGAGAGCUCCCAGAAGUUUCAGAAUUUUCUGAUCGUGAGCAUCCUGCACAUCACCACGCGGGCACGUCAUGAUGGCAGGAGAGCUCCCAGAAUUUUCAGAAAUUCCUGAUCGUGAACGUCCUGCACAUCACCACGCGGGCACGUCAUGAUGGCAGGAGAGCUCCCAGAAGUUUCAGAAUUUCCUGAUCGUGAGCAUCCUGCACAUCACCACGCGGGCACGUCAUAACUGAAGGUCGCCUACAAACCAGCAAAAACGAAAACUAACACCCAAAAUCAGUCAAGUUGAAGGAAAACAGAUUCAAACAAUGACAGGAAACCAAUAAACAAUUAAAAGAAACAAUUGGGUUGCCUCCCAAUGAGCGCUUUUCUUUAAUGUCUUUGGCUAGACAUUGUCCAAAAAUUUCCUUAAACUAAGCAAGUAGGAUCCUCCAAGUGCAUCACCUCCACCCGUUCAGUUGGAGCCCCUUCAUAAUACGGUUUGAGACGAUGACCAUUCACUACAAAUUUCUUCUCAGCUUUCAAACUUUGGAUCUCGACUGCACCAUAAUGGAAGACAUUAGUCACAACAAAAGGGCCAAUCCAACGAGAACGUAAUUUACCUGGAAAUAACUGCAAUUUGGAGUGGUAUAGCAGAACUUUUUGCCCACACUCGAAAGUCUUCCUUGAGAUCUGUUGGUCAUGAAAAAUUUUAUUUUUCUCCUUAUAAAUUACCGCAUUCUCAUAAGCUUCAUUGCGAAUCUCCUCCAACUCCUGUAAUUGUAACUUCCUGUGGAUUCCGCCCUCCUCAAUAUCCAUAUUGCAUUGCUUAACUGCCCAAAAUGCUUUAUGCUCGAACUCUACUGGAAGAUGACACGGCUUACCAAAUACCAACCUAUAGGGAGACAUCCCUAUAGGUGUCUUGUAUGCCGUCCGAUAGGCCCAAAGUGCGUCCUUCAACCUGUGGCUCCAAUCUUUCCUAUCAGGGCGCACCAUUUUCUCCAAGAUGGACUUAAUCUCCCGAUUCGACACCUCCGCUUGACCAUUGGUCUGAGGGUGGUAUGACGUUGAGACCCUGUGGAGUACACCAUACUUGCGAAACAACGCAGCUAUGGUUUUGUUGCAAAAGUGCGUUCCCCUGUCACUGACAAUAGCUCUUGGCAUUCCAAAUCGCACAAAAAUAUUAGACCUGAUAAAAUCUGUAACCACUUUCGAGUCAUUAGUUCGAGUGGCCUUAGCCUCCACCCAUUUAGACACAUAAUCAACUGCCAGCAAAAUAUACAGAAAACCAAAUGAAGUAGGAAAAGGCCCCAUGAAAUCUAUACCCCAGACAUCAAAAAUUUCUACAAAAAUCAUCGGGACUUGGGGCAUAUGAUCUUUACGGGCUAUAUUACCUACCCUUUGACAGCGAUCACAUGACUUACAAAACACAUAGGCAUCCUUAAACAAUGAAGGCCAAUAAAAUCCACUUUCUAAAACCUUAUGAGCAGUUCUCUUGGGUCCAAAAUGACCUCCACAGGCAAAAGUAUGACAAAAAGUUAAAAUCGAUUGAAAUUCCAUUUCACUUACACAUCUCCUCAUCACCUGAUCUGCACAUCUCUUCCAUAAGUAUGGGUCAUCCCAGAUGAAAUACUUGGCGUCGCUCUUCAAUUUAUCCCUCUUCGAUUUUUGCCAACCUGCAGGAAAAUUACCAGUUACCAAAUAAUUGACUAAAUCAGCAUACCAAGGCAACUGAGAAUUUAAAAAAAAUAAGUGCUCUUCAGGGAAUGCAUCCCUCAAUGGUUCAUUAUCAUCUCCAACGGGUAUACGACUCAGAUGGUCAGCUACUAAAUUCUCUGAGCCUCUUUUAUCCCUUAUUUCCAGGUCAAAUUCCUGUAGUAGCAAUAUCCACCUGAUGAGCCUCGGUUUUGCAUCUUUCUUGGUCAUCAGGUACCUUAAUGCUGCAUGAUCAGAAAAUACAAUCACUUUAGCACCUAACAGAUAUGACCUGAACUUUUCUAGAGCAAAAAUUACUGCAAGAAGCUCCUUCUCAGUGGUGGAGUAAUUCAACUGGGCUCCAUUCAAUGCUCGGGAUGCAUAGUAGAUGACGUGAGCUGCCUUCCCUACUCUUUGCCCCAGUACAGCCCCAACAGCAUGAUCACUGGCAUCGCACAUGAUCUCAAAUGGCAACCUCCAAUCGGGGGGCUGGAUGAUUGGGGGUGAAGUCAACAAUUCCUUCAGCUUGUCAAAGGCUCUCUCACACUUGUCAUCAAACUCGAAGGCUACAUCCUUUUGCAAGAGUUGGAACAACGGGGCCCCAAUUUUUGAAAAAUCCUUGAUGAACCUUCGAUAAAAACCUGCAUGCCCAAGAAAAGAACGCACCUCCCGCACAUUUGCGGGGUAAGGUAAUGCAGAAAUAACGUCUAUUUUAGCUCUGUCAACUUCAAUGCCCUUAGAUGAUACAAUAUGACCCAAGACUAUCCCGUGUUCAACCAUAAAAUGACAUUUUUCCCAAUUAAGCACGAGAUUAGUCUCUAUACACCUUAUCAGGAUCAAUUUCAGGUUAUCUAGACACGUAUCAAAACUAUAACCAUAUACACUGAAAUCAUCCAUGAAAACUUCAAUAAUUUUCUCCACAUAUUCAGAAAAAAUACUUACCAUACAUCGUUGGAAAGUCGCAGGUGCAUUGCACAACCCAAAUGGCAUUCGUCUGUAGGCAAAGGUCCCGAACGGGCACGUGAAGGUUGUCUUCUCUUGAUCCUCUGGGGCAAUUGCUAUCUGAAAGUAUCCUGAAAAUCCAUCCAAAAAGCAAUAAUAAGCCUUACCAGCUAAACGUUCAACCAUUUGGUCAAUGAAAGGGAGAGGGAAGUGGUCCUUUUUAGUGACGGCGUUCAGCCAACGGUAGUCUAUACACUGCCUCCAUCCAGUGGGUUUGCGCACUGGCACGAGCUCACCCGUUUGGUUGGCUUCUACCGUUACUCCUGCCUUCUUCGGGACUACCUGAACCGGACUCACCCAAGGGCUAUCAGAUAUUGCAAAGAUGAUCCCCACAUCUAGCAGUUUUAGAAUCUCUUUCUUUACAACUUCCAUCAUGAGGGGGUUGAGCCUUCUUUGAGCCUGCCUAACAGGUUUGGCAUCGUCUUCUAGCCUAAUCCGGUGCAUACAGAUGGCCGGGCUUAUCCCCUUAAUGUCUGCGAUUGUCCAGCCUAUCGCCUCUUUAUGUUCCCGAAGGACCCGGAUCAAUUUCUCUUCCUGGAUUUUUGACAGUGCCGACGAAAUAAUCACCGGGAGUGUCUCAUUAUCACCCAAAUAUGCAUAUCUCAGGUGCUCUGGUAGAGGUUUCAACUCCAGUACAGGUGCCUGCACCACAGAUGGCAAUACCCUCUGAUGAGCCUCGGGAGUAAAAAUAGGUAAGACUUCAUACCUUUUCCUGGUGGUCUGCAAUGAGUGUAAUGCACCUAUUGUGCAUUUUAAAUCCUCACUCCACUCCACCUGAGGAGUUGUCUCCAACUCGAGGUGCUUGGUUAAAGCCACCUCCAACUCAUCCCUGCCAUCAGUUUCAAACACUUCCUGCACUACAGGAUCAAUAGCACUCACAGAGAAAACUGAGCUAAAGUUGGAGUUCGAGGGGUAUUUCAUAGUAUCAAAAAUAUUAAAAUGCACAAUUUCCCCAUCAAACUCCAUGGACAAGGUACCCUUAUUAACAUCAAUUUUCGUCUGUGCAGUGCUCAUAAAAGGUCUACCCAAUAACAAAGGUGAGGGAUCAGGGGAGUGAUCAUCAUCCAUAUCCAGUACAUAAAAAUCAGCUGGAAACACCAAAUCAUUAACUUUUACCAAUACAUCUUCAACCAACCCAUCAGGAUAUGCAUUAGUUCGGUCAGCUAAUUGAAUGAUAAUUUCAGUUUCUUUUAAUGGACCUAAUUUUAGAGAAGCAUAGAUAGACUUAGGCAUGACAUUAAUUGAUGCUCCCAGAUCCAACAUGGCCCUUCUGAUCACAGUAUUACCUAUCCUACAGGGAAUAGUAAACAUACCUGGGUCCCCGCACUUUGGUGGGAGCUUUCUCUGCAGGACCGCUGACACAUUCUCCCCAACAAUAACCCGUUCAUCCCCUCUCAAUCGCCUUCGGUUGACACACAAGUCCCUUAGGAACUUGGCAUAUUUUGGUACUUGUUUGAUGGCGUCUAAGAGGGGGAUAUUUAUCUCAACCUUGCGAAAAACCUCCAAGAUUUCCCUCUCCUUAUCCUGCUUCUUUGAUUUUUCCAACCUGUUAGGAAAAGGAGGCGGGUUAGUCCUAACUGUAAUUGUUGGGUCAGGAAGUACCUGUGGAUCUGCACCAUUGCUGUCCUCCCUUUCGAGCUCACUUUCGAUCUUCUGUUCAUCCUUGUCCUUGGGGAUCACAGGCUCAGGCCCUUGAACUUCCUUGCCACUCCUCAAGGUCAUGGCGCUCACAUUCUUCGGGUUCAACUCAGGUUGAGAUGGCAAUUUACCUUGAUUUUGGGCAUCCAAGCGGUUGAUUGUUGUGGCCAGUUGACUUAUCUGAUUCCUUAUGUCCUGCAUUUCGGAGUCCGUCCUUUGCUGAUGUUGCAUAAUGGUUGCCUCCGUCCUUUGCUGAUUUUGCAUAAUAGUUGCCUCUGUCCUUUGCUGAUUUUGCGCCAUGGUUGUCAUCAUUUGUUUCAUCAUCUCCUCCAUAGAUGAACCGGAUUGAGGGGGCGGAGGUGGUCGGGGUUGGUAUUGCUGCUGGUACCCUGGUGGCUUAUUUGGCACAAAGCUAGACUGCCUGUUCGGUGUAAAGUUGGGUUGCAUAUUCCCUCCAUAACUGAGGUUGGGAUGAUCUCUCCACCCGGGGUUGUAGGUGCUUGAGUAAGGGUCGUACUGCUUCCUUGGCGCGGGCGCGUGGUCAGCCAUGUUCACCUGUUCUGCAGUUUCUUCCUGAAUCAUUGGGCACAUGUCUGCAGAGUGGCCUAUACCAGUGCAAAUCCCGCAUACCCUGGCUUGUGAUGCAUUUCUCACAGCCUGUUGCCUAACAAAAGCAGUCAACUCAUUUAGCUGCUGCUGCACAGAGGGUGUCUCUAUCUCAUUCACCCUACGUAUUGGAACAUCCUCUCUUGUACUGAAUUGCUGUGAGUUCUCUGCCAUCCCCUCUAUUAACUCCCGUGCUUCCUGAGGGGUUUUGUUCACCAGUGCCCCUCCACUUGCAGCAUCAAUGAUGCUCCUGUCUCUAAAAAUGAGUCCCUCAUAAAAAAAUUGUAUGAUCAACUGCUCACUUAUUUGGUGUUGGGGGCACCUGCGCAACAAGUUUUUAUACCGUUCCCAAUACUCGUAAAGUGACUCCGCUGGAUGCUGUUUGAUCCCACAAAUUUCUUUCCUUAGACUUGCAGCCCUGGAUGCAGGAAAAUAUUUAUCCAAAAAUUUUUUCAUCAAUUGGCCCCACGUGGUGAUGCUACCUGGUGACAGGUAGUACAGCCAGUCCUUCGCAGAAUCUUUCAAGGAGAAGGGGAAUGCCCUCAUUUUUAUCUGCUCUUCUGUGAUUCCCGGGGGUUUCAUACUGUUGCAAACAACAUCAAACUCCUGCAGAUGCUUAUACGGCUCUUCACCUGGUAAACCAUGAAAAGAGGGUAAAAGCUGAAUCAGACCAGAUUUUAGUUCAAAUGGAAUGUUGUCAUUUAAAGCGGGGAAAGUAAUGCACAAAGGCUGCUGAGUUAAAUCAGGAGCAGCCAACUCCCUUAAUGUUUGUGCAUUAGCCAUGGUUCCUUCCUCCUGGUCAGAGUCACUUGAAGUGUCACCAAACGAAUCUGUUGGUUCAACUUCUGACUCGGGUCUUUGAGAUGUAGCCCUGGAGUGCUCUUCUCUGAGUUGUCUGGUUUCCUUUCUCGUUCUACGCGCGGUCUUCUCUAUCUCGUGGUCAAAAAUCAAAUCACCUGUACGAGAAGAUCGAGGCAUACACUAGAAGAAGACCAGAAAAUUAGGACAAAAUUGAAUUUAAAAAGAAACAAAUAAUAACGCCAGUCCCCGGCAACGGCGCCAAAAAUUGACAGGUCGUCAGCCUGUGCAAUAAUAAUAAUAAAAAUAGAACCUAUCUACCACCAAAAGCAGUCAAUAAUUAAUCCUAGGUACUGGAGCAGGGACUCUAGGUGUGCAAUGGGUUACUUGAUUCACCCUAUUCCCGAAGAGUUUGCUUAACCCGAUAUACCAGAAUUCAUUAAUUGACAAAAAUUACUAAAUAGUAGACAGUGGCAAGUAGGGUCGUCUCCUCAGGGACUGGAGAUAUCUGUCUCUUUCAAAGUCCAAUUGAUAAAGGGGGAUUUCACCGGAAUGCAACUAAAAACAAUUAAACAAUUUAACUAAAAAUGAAUAAAUAACUAGCGCAAAUAUAGCAGGAAUUUAAUCAGGAAUAAAUAAAUUCUAGUCAAGGAUACAACUACUCAGGCACAGUCCAUUUAUCCGAUCAUUGAUGCAGGAGAGGUUCACUUAAUGUAUUAAUAGGCUAGUUAUAGUCUGACAACCAAUUUUUCCUUAAGUUAUAGGUGACCAAGGUACGACCAUUAAUCACCCCUAACCAGAAAAGUACUCCUAGGUACGACCGUAGGAAUUAAUUUUCUAAUUGCAUUAAUAACCAGAAAAACCUAGCCCUAAUCAAUAACACGCUACGAGGGUUAUUUAAAUUAGAUUGCACAUUCCUCUAAUGUGUAAACACACCAGUUGCCACUAAUAUUAAUCAAUCAAACCAUUACGGAUUUAAUUGACUAAAUUGGCACGAGAUUAAUAAAUCAAGUUGAACAUCGGGCCCUUGACAUCCAAUUCAUAAAAUAAUCCCAUGAAAAUUAAAUCAGACAACAUGCAAAUAUUAAUAGAUAAAGGAACACGUGAAAACUAAUUAGAUCUCACAGAUUUUCGGGACUGCGCCGUCGAGUUGACCCUUGACUAGAUGAAAGACUUAGCCACGCCGCAUAAUUAAAUCACCACACGAGUUAAUAAAUUGCGAAGGCAUCGUUUUGUACUAAGAAAUAAGGAAUGAAGGAGGUUUUCCCCGUUGGGGAAUAUUGUCAAGCACCUGGCGUGUGUCAGAGGCCAGUCCAAGGAAAAGAAAGAAAAAAACUAAACUAAAGACUAGGCUAAAAAGCUAAACUAAAAGCGGUCCCUCGCCUCUGUACGUUAGCUCCCUAUUUAAAGCCAAAGGAAAGAUAUCCAGUGGUCCCC
RNAcentral lists this long non-coding RNA (8540 nucleotides) under Coffea arabica (coffee). Its description in RNAcentral is "long non-coding RNA (CARA_LNC007923)". The record is from RNAcentral. Lineage: Eukaryota; Viridiplantae; Streptophyta; Magnoliopsida; Gentianales; Rubiaceae.